This 450-nucleotide ribosomal RNA is filed under the name uncultured bacterium. RNAcentral describes it as "bacterial SSU rRNA". It matches the Rfam family "Bacterial small subunit ribosomal RNA", at positions 329 to 794 of the family's 1533-position model. The record is from RNAcentral.
GGCCAGACUCCUACGGGAGGCAGCAGUGGGGAAUAUUGGGCAAUGGGCGAAGGCCUGACCCAGCAACGCCGCGUGCAGGAUGAAGGCCUUCGGGUUGUAAACUGCUUUUAUAAGCGAGAAAUAUGAUGGUAACUUAUGAAUAAGGAUCGGCUAACUACGUGCCAGCAGCCGCGGUCAUACGUAGGAUCCGAGCAUUAUCCGGAGUGACUGGGUGUAAAGAGUUGCGUAGGUGGCAUAAUAAGUAGCUAGUGAAAUCUGGUGGCUCAACCAUUCAGACUAUUAGCUAAACUGUUAAGCUCGAGACCGUUAGGGGUAACUGGAAUUUCUAGUGUAGGAGUGAAAUCCGUAGAUAUUAGAAGGAACACCAAUAGCGUAGGCAGGUUGCUGGGACGGUUCUGACACUAAGGCACGAAAGCGUAGGGAGCAAACGGGAUUAGAUAUCCGCGUAAC